RNAcentral lists this ribosomal RNA (465 nucleotides) under Vreelandella stevensii. Its description in RNAcentral is "partial 16S ribosomal RNA". It matches the Rfam family "Bacterial small subunit ribosomal RNA", at positions 338 to 795 of the family's 1533-position model. Lineage: Bacteria; Pseudomonadati; Pseudomonadota; Gammaproteobacteria; Oceanospirillales; Halomonadaceae. The record is from RNAcentral.
CCUACGGGGGGCUGCAGUGGGGAAUAUUGGACAAUGGGGGGAACCCUGAUCCAGCCAUGCCGCGUGUGUGAAGAAGGCCCUCGGGUUGUAAAGCACUUUCAGUGAGGAAGAACGCCUGGUGGUUAAUACCCAUCAGGAAAGACAUCACUCACAGAAGAAGCACCGGCUAACUCCGUGCCAGCAGCCGCGGUAAUACGGAGGGUGCGAGCGUUAAUCGGAAUUACUGGGCGUAAAGCGCGCGUAGGUGGCUUGAUAAGCCGGUUGUGAAAGCCCCGGGCUCAACCUGGGAACGGCAUCCGGAACUGUCAAGCUAGAGUGCAGGAGAGGAAGGUAGAAUUCCCGGUGUAGCGGUGAAAUGCGUAGAGAUCGGGAGGAAUACCAGUGGCGAAGGCGGCCUUCUGGACUGAUACUGACACUGAGGUGCGAAAGCGUGGGUAGCAAACAGGAUUAGAUACCCCUGUAGUC